ACUCCUACGGGAGGCAGCAGUGGGGAAUAUUGGACAAUGGGCGCAAGCCUGAUCCAGCCACGCCGCGUGGGUGAAGAAGGCCUUCGGGUUGUAAAGCCCUUUUGUCCGGAAAGAAAAGCACUGGAUUAAUACUUCGGUGUUCUGACGGUACCGGAAGAAUAAGCACCGGCUAACUUCGUGCCAGCAGCCGCGGUAAUACGAAGGGUGCAAGCGUUACUCGGAAUUACUGGGCGUAAAGCGUGCGUAGGUGGUUCGUUAAGUCUGAUGUGAAAGCCCUGGGCUCAACCUGGGAAUUGCAUUGGAUACUGGCGGGCUAGAGUGCGGUAGAGGAUGGCGGAAUUCCCGGUGUAGCAGUGAAAUGCGUAGAGAUCGGGAGGAACAUCUGUGGCGAAGGCGGCCAUCUGGACCAGCACUGACACUGAGGCACGAAAGCGUGGGGAGCAAACAGGAUUAGAUACCCUGGUAGUCCACGCCCUAAACGAUGCGAACUGGAUGUUGGGUGCAACUAGGCACUCAGUAUCGAAGCUAACGCGUUAAGUUCGCCGCCUGGGGAGUACGGUCGCAAGACUGAAACUCAAAGGAAUUGACGGGGGCCCGCACAAGC
This 604-nucleotide ribosomal RNA is filed under the name uncultured organism. RNAcentral's name for it is "bacterial SSU rRNA". It matches the Rfam family "Bacterial small subunit ribosomal RNA", at positions 335 to 930 of the family's 1533-position model. The record is from RNAcentral.